GAAGAUGACGAGGUUAAUAGGUUCGAGGUGGAAGCGUGGUGACACGUGGAGCUGACGAAUACUAAUCGAUCGAAGACUUAAUCAAUUU
RNAcentral lists this ribosomal RNA (88 nucleotides) under Staphylococcus epidermidis. RNAcentral describes it as "partial 23S ribosomal RNA". It matches the Rfam family "Bacterial large subunit ribosomal RNA", at positions 2840 to 2925 of the family's 2925-position model. Lineage: Bacteria; Bacillati; Bacillota; Bacilli; Caryophanales; Staphylococcaceae. The record is from RNAcentral.